This 460-nucleotide ribosomal RNA is filed under the name uncultured bacterium. Its description in RNAcentral is "partial 16S ribosomal RNA". It matches the Rfam family "Bacterial small subunit ribosomal RNA", at positions 338 to 795 of the family's 1533-position model. The record is from RNAcentral.
CCUACGGGUGGCAGCAGUGAGGAAUAUUGGUCAAUGGACGAGAGUCUGAACCAGCCAAGUAGCGUGAAGGAUGACUGCCCUAUGGGUUGUAAACUUCUUUUAUAUGGGAAUAAAAUGUUCCACGUGUGGGAUUUUGUAUGUACCAUAUGAAUAAGGAUCGGCUAACUCCGUGCAAGCAGCCGCGGUACUACGGAGGAUCCGAGCGUUAUCCGGAUGUAUUGGGUGUAUGGGGAGGGUAGGUGGGUUGUUAAGUCAGUUGGGAAAGUUUGCGGAGCAACCGUAAAAUUGCAGUUGAAAAUGGCAGGCUUGAGUACAGUAGAGGUGGGCGGAAUGCGUGGUGUAGCGGUGAAAUGCUUAGAUAUCACGAAGAACUCCGAUUGCGAAGGCAGCUCACUGGACUGCAACUGACACUGAGGCUCGAAAGUGUGGGUAUCAAACAGGAUUAGAGACCCCUGUAGUC